UAAAGAGUUCGCCGAUGAGCUAAAAGCAGAGUAACGGCCUGAAGGAGGCGGCAGACCACCACCAACAUGGCCUGGUGAUUUAUGCUUCUCCAUAGACAAACGAUCCUCAAGCACUAGCCCACUCAAUACAAAACCCUAAAAAGAAAUCAGAGAUCUGCUCUAAAGUUCACGAAAACGACUUUUACAGAUAAACCGACCGGCAGAGCAGCGUAUCUUGAGCUUCUCUAAUGGAAAUCUACCGAGACGCU
This is a long non-coding RNA of Magnolia sinica, 248 nucleotides long. RefSeq lists it as uncharacterized. Lineage: Eukaryota; Viridiplantae; Streptophyta; Magnoliopsida; Magnoliales; Magnoliaceae. The record is from RefSeq and is a predicted model, not a curated record. The transcript has 2 exons.